GAUGAACGCUGGCGGCGUGCCUAAUACAUGCAAGUCGAGCGAACGGACGAGAAGCUUGCUUCUCUGAUGUUAGCGGCGGACGGGUGAGUAACACGUGGAUAACCUACCUAUAAGACUGGGAUAACUUCGGGAAACCGUAGCUAAUACCGGAUAAUAUUUUGAACCGCAUGGUUCAAAAGUGAAAGACGGUCUUGCUGUCACUUAUAGAUGGAUCCGCGCUUCAUUAGCUAGUUGGUAAGGUAACGGCUUACCAAGGCAACGAUGCAUAGCCGACCUGAGAGGGUGAUCGGCCACUCUGGAACUGUGACACGGUCCUGACUCCUACGAGAGGCAGCAGUAGGGAAUCUUCCGCAAUGGGCGAAAGCCUGGCGGAGCAACGCCGCGUGAGUGAUAAAGGUCUUCGAAUCGUAAAACUCUGUUAUUAGGGAAAAACAUAUGUGUAAGUAACUGUGCACAUCUUGACGGUACCUAAUCAGAAAGCCGCGGCUAACUACGUG
Molecule: ribosomal RNA, 497 nt
Filed under: uncultured bacterium
Lineage: Bacteria
Description: partial 16S ribosomal RNA
Rfam family: Bacterial small subunit ribosomal RNA
Source: RNAcentral